This 27-nucleotide non-coding RNA is filed under the name Bombyx mori (domestic silkworm). Lineage: Eukaryota; Metazoa; Arthropoda; Insecta; Lepidoptera; Bombycidae. The record is from RNAcentral.
UGUCACGACUUGGUGGAGUGUCACGAC